This is a long non-coding RNA of Amborella trichopoda, 422 nucleotides long. RefSeq lists it as uncharacterized. NCBI's taxonomy places the organism in Eukaryota, Viridiplantae, Streptophyta, Magnoliopsida, Amborellales, Amborellaceae. The record is from RefSeq and is a predicted model, not a curated record.
UGCGUAUAGUCACACCAACUAGGACUGGACCAAGUAACUUGUUAGGUGGUUGGCCCGUUCCAAGAAGAAGAGAGGAUGGCAUCGAUGAAGGCCGAAAAACCUGCUGCUGCAGCAACUAUGUUUGGUCAACCUAAGAAACCCUCUGAGGUUACUGCUGCAAAGGCCCAGCCCUCCAAGCCGGCCCCAAAGAAGUCCGAACAGAAGCCUCGAGAGCCUAAGAAGAAGGCUAAAGGUGGGAAGCCGGGUGCAAAGAACUGACGAACAAACAUGCAAGACCCUAUGCAGUGUUUAGUGGAUUAGUUUGGCACAUUUCAAUCAUCUAAAGGAUUUUAUAUUACAGUCCUUCAUCACUCAGUUUCCAUGUAGUGUGUGUGCUGUGCUUAUGCUAAUGAAAUAAUAAACCAUAUGUUUUAAAGGAAAGA